This 217-nucleotide unclassified non-coding RNA is filed under the name Glomus sp. RNAcentral's name for it is "partial internal transcribed spacer 2". Lineage: Eukaryota; Fungi; Glomeromycota; Glomeromycetes; Glomerales; Glomeraceae. The record is from RNAcentral.
GUGAAUCAUCAAAUCUUUGAACGCAAAUUGCACUCUCCGCUAUUAGUAUACGUGUUUGUGUCUGAGCGUAUGUUAAAUCAAAAUCGGUGUUGUUGCUGCUUUUCGUGGUGACGAGUCGGAAUCGUGUUAACUUACUUUCGGUUAAGUGACUUAAAAUUUUGCAUGAUUUUCGAAUGUAUUUAAAUUUCUUUCAUACGUUUGCGCUAUCGAAUACAUC